Molecule: ribosomal RNA, 1343 nt
Filed under: uncultured bacterium
Lineage: Bacteria
Description: 16S ribosomal RNA
Rfam family: Bacterial small subunit ribosomal RNA
Source: RNAcentral
GACGAACGCUGGCGGCGUGCUUAACACAUGCAAGUCGAACGGAAAGGCCCUGCUUUUGUGGGGUGCUCGAGUGGCGAACGGGUGAGUAACACGUGAGUAACCUGCCCUUGACUUUGGGAUAACUUCAGGAAACUGGGGCUAAUACCGGAUAGGAGCUCCUGCUGCAUGGUGGGGGUUGGAAAGUUUCGGCGGUUGGGGAUGGACUCGCGGCUUAUCAGCUUGUUGGUGGGGUAGUGGCUUACCAAGGCUUUGACGGGUAGCCGGCCUGAGAGGGUGACCGGCCACAUUGGGACUGAGAUACGGCCCAGACUCCUACGGGAGGCAGCAGUGGGGAAUAUUGCACAAUGGGCGGAAGCCUGAUGCAGCAACGCCGCGUGCGGGAUGACGGCCUUCGGGUUGUAAACCGCUUUCGCCUGUGACGAAGCGUGAGUGACGGUAAUGGGUAAAGAAGCACCGGCUAACUACGUGCCAGCAGCCGCGGUGAUACGUAGGGUGCGAGCGUUGUCCGGAUUUAUUGGGCGUAAAGGGCUCGUAGGUGGUUGAUCGCGUCGGAAGUGUAAUCUUGGGGCUUAACCCUGAGCGUGCUUUCGAUACGGGUUGACUUGAGGAAUUUAGGGGAGAAUGGAAUUCCUGGUGGAGCGGUGGAAUGCGCAGAUAUCAGGAGGAACACCAGUGGCGAAGGCGGUUCUCUGGGCCUUUCCUGACGCUGAGGAGCGAAAGCGUGGGGAGCGAACAGGCUUAGAUACCCUGGUAGUCCACGCUGUAAACGGUGGGUACUAGGUGUGGGGUCCAUUCCACGGGUUCCGUGCCGUAGCUAACGCUUUAAGUACCCCGCCUGGGGAGUACGGCCGCAAGGCUAAAACUCAAAGGAAUUGACGGGGCCCCGCACAAGCGGCGGAGCAUGCGGAUUAAUUCGAUGCAACGCGUAGAACCUUACCUGGGUUUGACAUGGAUCGGGAGUGCUCAGAGAUGGGUGUGCCUCUUUUGGGGUCGGUUCACAGGUGGUGCAUGGCUGUCGUCAGCUCGUGUCGUGAGAUGUUGGGUUAAGUCCCGCAACGAGCGCAACCCUUGUUCACUGUUGCCAGCACGUUAUGGUGGGGACUCAGUGGAGACCGCCGGGGUCAACUCGGAGGAAGGUGGGGAUGACGUCAAGUCAUCAUGCCCCUUAUGUCCAGGGCUUCACGCAUGCUACAAUGGCUGGUACAGAGAGUGGCGAGCCUGUGAGGGUGAGCGAAUCUCGGAAAGCCGGUCUCAGUUCGGAUUGGGGUCUGCAACUCGACCUCAUGAAGUCGGAGUCGCUAGUAAUCGCAGAUCAGCAACGCUGCGGUGAAUAAAUUCCCGGG